AAGCUCGUAGUUGAAUUUCGGGACUAUUGCGCCGGUCGUGCCUUCGGUAUGUACUGGUGUUACUGGUUCCUACCUUCUGACGAACCGUCAUGUCAUUAAUUUGGUGUGGCGGGGAAUCAGGACUGUUACUUUGAAAAAAUUAGAGUGUUUAAAGCAGGCUCGCGCUUGAAUACAUUAGCAUGGAAUAAUGAAAUAGGACGUUCGAUCCUAUUUUGUUGGUUUCUAGGAUUGACGUAAUGAUUAAUAGGGAUAGUUGGGGGCAUUAGUAUUCAAUUGUCAGAGGUGAAAUUCUUGGAUUUAUUGAAGACUAACUACUGCGAAAGCAUUUGCCAAGGAUGUUUUCAUUAAUCAAGAACGAAAGUUAGGGGAUCGAAGACGAUCAGAUACCAUCGUAGUCUUAACCAUAAACUAUGCCGACUAGGGAUCGGAUGAUGUUAUUUUUAAUGACUCAUUCGGCGCCUUACGGGAAACCAAAGUGUUUGGGUUCCGGGGGGAGUAUGGUCGCAAGGCUGAAACUUAAAGGAAUUGACGGAAGGGCACCACCAGGGGUGGGGCCUGCGGCUUAAUUUGACUCAACACGGGGAAA
This 586-nucleotide ribosomal RNA is filed under the name uncultured Glomus. RNAcentral describes it as "SSU rRNA". It matches the Rfam family "Eukaryotic small subunit ribosomal RNA", at positions 624 to 1213 of the family's 1831-position model. Lineage: Eukaryota; Fungi; Glomeromycota; Glomeromycetes; Glomerales; Glomeraceae. The record is from RNAcentral.